This 464-nucleotide ribosomal RNA is filed under the name uncultured Klebsiella sp. RNAcentral's name for it is "bacterial SSU rRNA". It matches the Rfam family "Bacterial small subunit ribosomal RNA", at positions 338 to 795 of the family's 1533-position model. The record is from RNAcentral. Lineage: Bacteria; Pseudomonadati; Pseudomonadota; Gammaproteobacteria; Enterobacterales; Enterobacteriaceae.
CCUACGGGCGGCUGCAGUGGGGAAUAUUGCACAAUGGGCGCAAGCCUGAUGCAGCCAUGCCGCGUGUGUGAAGAAGGCCUUCGGGUUGUAAAGCACUUUCAGCGGGGAGGAAGGCGGUGAGGUUAAUAACCUCAUCGAUUGACGUUACCCGCAGAAGAAGCACCGGCUAACUCCGUGCCAGCAGCCGCGGUAACACGGAGGGUGCAAGCGUUAAUCGGAAUUACUGGGCGUAAAGCGCACGCAGGCGGUCUGUCAAGUCGGAUGUGAAAUCCCCGGGCUCAACCUGGGAACUGCAUUCGAAACUGGCAGGCUAGAGUCUUGUAGAGGGGGGGAGAAUUCCAGGUGUAGCGGUGAAAUGCGUAGAGAUCUGGAGGAAUACCGGGGGCGAAGGCGGCCCCCUGGACAAAGACUGACGCGCAGGUGCGAAAGCGUGGGGAGCAAACGGAUUAGAUACCCCGGUAGUC